RNAcentral lists this small RNA (281 nucleotides) under Oryza sativa Japonica Group (Japanese rice). RNAcentral describes it as "sRNA Os01g0882250". Lineage: Eukaryota; Viridiplantae; Streptophyta; Magnoliopsida; Poales; Poaceae. The record is from RNAcentral.
UCACCUGCGCGGACGCCGGAGGCGCCGGCCUUCUUGAGCCCCUUCUUCUUGACGAUGAAGCUGGCGCCGAUGAAGAAGCUGGAGGAGAGCGCUAGCACCAGCCCCUUGAUGUUGUCGGCCGACAUCCCCUCCACCCAGCUCCCGCCCCCGGCACCGGCGGCCGCCGAAGUGGACGCCUCAGUCGCCAUACCCCCCGGCGCCCCCAAAUCCCGGAAACCCUUCUACAACCUCCGGGGGGUGCGACGCCGCUAGAUCCCGCCGCGGACGUGGCGCAUGCGGAG